GAUGAACGCUGGCGGCGUGCCUAAUACAUGCAAGUCGAGCGAACAGACGAGGAGCUUGCUCCUCUGACGUUAGCGGCGGACGGGUGAGUAACACGUGGAUAACCUACCUAUAAGACUGGGAUAACUUCGGGAAACCGGAGCUAAUACCGGAGAAUAUAUUGAACCACAUGGUUCAAUAGUGAAAGACGGUUUUGCUGUCACUUAUAGAUGGAUCCGCGCCGCAUUAGCUAGUUGGUAAGGUAACGGCUUACCAAGGCAACGAUGCGUAGCCGACCUGAGAGGGUGAUCGGCCACACUGGAACUGAGACACGGUCCAGACUCCUACGGGAGGCAGCAGUAGGGAAUCUUCCGCAAUGGGCGAAAGCUUGACGGAGCAACGCCGCGUGAGUGAUGAAGGUCUUCGGAUCGUAAAACUCUGUUAUUAGGGAAGAACAAAUGUGUAAGUAACUAUGCACGUCUUGACGGUACCUAAUCAGAAAGCCACGGCUAACUACGUG
RNAcentral lists this ribosomal RNA (497 nucleotides) under uncultured bacterium. RNAcentral's name for it is "partial 16S ribosomal RNA". It matches the Rfam family "Bacterial small subunit ribosomal RNA", at positions 28 to 507 of the family's 1533-position model. The record is from RNAcentral.